GGACUGGAGUCUGCAACCCGACUCCAUGAAGCUGGAUUCGCUAGUAAUCGCGCAUCAGCCACGGCGCGGUGAAUACGUUCCCGGGCCUUGUACACACCGCCCGUCACACCAUGAGAGUCGGGAACACCCGAAGUCCGUAGCCUAACUUAUCUGAGAGGGCGCGGCCGAAGGUGGGUUCGAUAAUUGGGGUGAAGUCGUAACAAGGUAGC
This 209-nucleotide ribosomal RNA is filed under the name uncultured bacterium. RNAcentral's name for it is "partial 16S ribosomal RNA". It matches the Rfam family "Bacterial small subunit ribosomal RNA", at positions 1295 to 1500 of the family's 1533-position model. The record is from RNAcentral.